RNAcentral lists this ribosomal RNA (352 nucleotides) under Alteromonas salexigens. RNAcentral's name for it is "partial 23S ribosomal RNA". It matches the Rfam family "Bacterial large subunit ribosomal RNA", at positions 1 to 406 of the family's 2925-position model. Lineage: Bacteria; Pseudomonadati; Pseudomonadota; Gammaproteobacteria; Alteromonadales; Alteromonadaceae. The record is from RNAcentral.
GGUUAAGUGACGAAGCGUAUACGGUGGAUGCCUUGGCAGUUAGAGGCGAUGAAGGACGUGUAAGUCUGCGAAAAGCUGUGGUGAGCUGACAAAAAGCAUUUGAGCCACAGAUGUCCGAAUGGGGAAACCCACCUGUUUACAGGUAUCGUUGCGUGAAUACAUAGCGUAACGAGGCGAACGAGGGGAACUGAAACAUCUAAGUACCCUUAGGAAAAGAAAUCAACCGAGAUUCCCCUAGUAGCGGCGAGCGAACGGGGAGCAGCCCUUAAGCUGCUUAAGAUUUAGUGGAAGCCUCUGGGAAGUGGCGCGAUACAGGGUGAUAGCCCCGUACACGUAGGAUCUUUUGUAGUGA